UGUCAAUGGAAGUUUCAUUUCAAAUUCUUUUCAUGUUUCAUUUGAAACAAUUACAACAACUCAGAUGAACAUAUGAAAGACAAAUAAUUGGGAAAAUCAUAUUGCCAGUGCCACAUCAGUAAAUGCCAUGCCGUUUGCUUCAUCUCUGCUGCAGAGGCUCACCAAAAAUCCUACCCCGCAUCCGGCAUCUCUCUAGAUCAACUCCCUAAACUCUGCCCUGUAAACAGACUCACUUACCUCUUUAAUCUAAAAGAACAAAUCUCCGAACCUUCACAACCCAGAGGGGUCGCACAGGUUUAGGUGGCUCUUUUUUUUUUGGAUUCUUUGUGGAAACAAAUACAUCAA
This is a long non-coding RNA of Alnus glutinosa, 345 nucleotides long. RefSeq lists it as uncharacterized. The transcript is spliced from 2 exons. The record is from RefSeq and is a predicted model, not a curated record. NCBI's taxonomy places the organism in Eukaryota, Viridiplantae, Streptophyta, Magnoliopsida, Fagales, Betulaceae.